RNAcentral lists this ribosomal RNA (532 nucleotides) under Naganishia albida. RNAcentral's name for it is "partial 18S ribosomal RNA". The stretch from base 108 to 261 matches the Rfam family "5.8S ribosomal RNA". The record is from RNAcentral. Lineage: Eukaryota; Fungi; Basidiomycota; Tremellomycetes; Filobasidiales; Filobasidiaceae.
CACCUGUGCACUUGUCGGAUGGCUUAGUGAAGACCGCAAGGUUGGAACUAUCCAUCUACUUUACAUAACAAUUUAGUAACAAAUGUAUUCUUAUUAUAACAUAAUAAAACUUUCAACAACGGAUCUCUUGGCUCUCGCAUCGAUGAAGAACGCAGCGAAAUGCGAUAAGUAAUGUGAAUUGCAGAAUUCAAUGAAUCAUCGAAUCUUUGAACGCACCUUGCGCUCCCUGGUAUUCCGGGGAGCAUGCCUGUUUGAGUGUCAUGAAAACCCUCAACCUUAGAUUGGUUAACACCUUUCUUUGGCUUGGAUUUGGACGUUUGCCGAUGAUAAGUCGGCUCGUCUUAAAAGUAAUAGCUGGAUCUGUCUCGCGACAUGGUUUGACUUGGCGUAAUAAGUAUUUCGCUAAGGACAUCUUCGGAUGGCCGCGUUGCAAGACUAAAGACCGCUUUCUAAUCCAUUGAUCUUCGGAUUAAUAUUCUUGACAUCUGGCCUCAAAUCAGGUAGGACUACCCGCUGAAUUAAGCAUAACAAA